This 497-nucleotide ribosomal RNA is filed under the name uncultured bacterium. RNAcentral's name for it is "partial 16S ribosomal RNA". It matches the Rfam family "Bacterial small subunit ribosomal RNA", at positions 28 to 507 of the family's 1533-position model. The record is from RNAcentral.
GAUGAACGCUGGCGGCGUGCCUAAUACAUGCAAGUCGAGCGAACAGACGAGGAGCUUGCUCCUCUGACGUUAGCGGCGGACGGGAGAGUAACACGUGGAUAACCUACCUAUAAGACUGGGAUAACUUCGGGAAACCGGAGCUAAUACCGGAUAAUAUAUUGAACCGCAUGGUUCAAUAGUGAAAGACGGUUUUGCUGUCACUUAUAGAUGGAUCCGCGCCGCAUUAGCUAGUUGGUAAGGUAACGGCUUACCAAGGCAACGAUGCGUAGCCGACCUGAGAGGGUGAUCGGCCACACUGGAACUGAGACACGGUCCAGACUCCUACGGGAGGCAGCAGUAGGGAAUCUUCCGCAAUGGGCGAAAGCCUGACGGAGCAACGCCGCGUGAGUGAUGAAGGUCUUCGGAUCGUAAAACUCUGUUAUUAGGGAAGAACAAAUGUGUAAGUAACUAUGCACGUCUUGACGGUACCUAAUCAGAAAGCCACGGCUAACUACGUG